This 253-nucleotide ribosomal RNA is filed under the name uncultured bacterium. Its description in RNAcentral is "partial 16S ribosomal RNA". It matches the Rfam family "Bacterial small subunit ribosomal RNA", at positions 524 to 776 of the family's 1533-position model. The record is from RNAcentral.
GACAGAGGGUGCAAACGUUGUUCGGAAUUACUGGGCGUAAAGCGUGUGUAGGCGGCUACGUAAGUCGGAUGUGAAAGCCCCGGGCUCAACCCGGGAAGUGCACUCGAUACUGCGUAGCUAGAGUGUCGGAGAGGUUGGUGGAAUUCUCGGUGUAGAGGUGAAAUUCGUAGAUAUCGAGAGGAACACCGGUGGCGAAGGCGGCCAACUGGACGAACACUGACGCUGAGGUGCGAAAGCGUGGGGAGCAAACAGG